CUCCUGCAUGUGACGGACACAGCACUGAUCCUGGCAGCUCCUUACCCCCAGCAGCCCGAAACUCACUCCUUAAUUACACAAGGGAAACCUUUUACCUCCGCAGCCAGAGUCUGGGGGGAAAGGCAGGCGUGGGAAGAUGGGUUCUCUACCUGGCCAGUGCCAUGUUGCCUGUUUCUUUACUGUAACUGUGGUGACAAAGAAAAGGGAAGAUGGAGCCUCCAUGUUGAACAUACCUGGCCCCCAGCACUAACUCCCUCUCUGGAUAUCUGGAACAAGGAGGACCUUAAACUUAACAAUAAAGCCAAUGAUGGUUCUACCAGUCUCCCCAAAGCCUCAAGUUUAAAAGCCAUAUGAACUGGCUGAUAGUGGAAAAUGGAAGCCAUGAGGAAAUCAGAUUAGAGUACUACCUGGUGAAGCCUGGAGGACCUACCAAGAAAAGCAAACUUGGAUCUUUGCAAGGUUAGAAGAACGAAUGGGAUCCAAGAAAAAGACUGGUCAUAUUCAACGGCUAAGAGCGUUGGAGAAGGCCUGUGGAGUCUCAGCAGGUCAGGUCCAUGACUCAUGAGUAGACACCUGUGUUUCUACUGCCUGGUGCCAUAAUCAUAAACAAGGAAGAAACUGAGGACAGGAGGGGCCAAACAAGUUACAGUUUCAUCCCUCCAGAGAGCCAACAGAGUAUUUUGCACGAAGUUGAAGCUAAACAGGUAUUAUGUCCUAUCUCUGGACUGAAUGACUAGAUGCUACUCAGCUUCUGAACUAGAGGAAGCCUGGGACCUUGACCGCACUAAUGCUGAUGACAGCGGAUUUGCAAGUGGCUAGAGGUACCAGAUUUAGCAAAUCAAAAUAUAGGACGUCAAGUUAAAUUUAAGUGUAAGAUAAGCUACGAAUACCUUUUCUAGUAUUAGUACGUCCCAUGCAAUAUACUAGAAAUGUUAUUCGUUAUUUAUGUUAAAUUUAAUUUUAUUAGGGCAUCCUAUAUUUUACCUGUCAAUCCAACCCAUGACCUAGGCAGACACUGUAGAAAAACAAAAGGAGAAUUAAGGAGAUAAAUGAAACACAGGGUGAGCUGAAAAGAGGUGCUCUGUGAAUUUGAGGGUCCAGUAGGAGCUGACUUGUAGGUACUUGGUCUGUUUUGAUGCCCACAACAACCUUGGGGAAGGGGCGGAAUAGCAGAGGGGUAAGCUCUCUGCCCCCCACCAGGGUUCUGCAGGACGCCAGGGCUUUUAUCAGCACCCCUAUGUUCACAUCCUGGCUGCACCCUCCUUGGUUGUAUAUACUCUGGAUAAUUCACUUAAUUUAAAUCUUGCUGCUUUUAUAAAAUUGAUAAAAAGUUAAUAGUGACACUGAUCACACUGAUGUCCCUCAAUGAAUUAUCAAUAUGUUUUUUCUUCCCACCUAUAUUCUUUAUUGAACUCUGUUAUUUUUGAUCCUGGUCUAGAGUAAGCAUUAUGACCAUGCAAGAGUGAAAUGAAAUUUUUAAAAAUAAUUUUUUAAUGUUUUCUGAAUGCUGGGUGUUUUCAAUGAUCAUGCAUGACUGGCAGCAAAGAGGAACGAGGAUGGAUUCGAUAAGGUGCAACAAGUCCUGAACACACACAGAGAACUGGCUGUGAAUCCUGUUUCUGCCACUCACCACUUACUUGUUGGUGAAAAUGCUCAGGAUGUUCACUGCAGCCUGCCUCACCCUGGAAAAGAGAUGUGAGGAUAAUGAGAAAGAAGAGUAUGUUCAGUGCGGAGCAUGCAAAUUUGCAUGAAAACUUCCCAGGCAAAGCAGGAAAGAAACCAGACCUCUUUUCUGCACAAUAAUGGGGCCCACUAACUCUGGGGAAAAGAGUAAUCAGCAAAUGCCUUUCCUUUCUCCUGCUGAUGUUUUGCCCGUACUCAGACCCCUUGACUUCUUAGCUUCUACCCAAAGUGAGCUUGUCAUCAAAGUUCUCCAAAAAUCUGCAGUGUUCUCUUGAGCAAAUCUGCUUCCAAGACUAUAGCGCUCUGAUGCAUUGAGAUGACAGCAAGCGGCAUUUUUCAGUCCUGUUACCCAUAUGGCUGCUACCACUGCAUCCUGUUAAAUAAUGUCUUCAACCCAAGAAACCUGCUUCCUAGGGAAGUUUCUCUCUCUCUGCAUUUGUUCCCACUAGAGAAUGACCAUCACCAGAUUCCUGAACUGAAAAUGCUGUUGACACUUUGGAAACUCGGGCCUCUAUUAAUAGGGUGACCAACUAUCCUGGUUUACCUUGAGUACAGGAUUUUCAAUGCUAAAACCAGAAAAACCAGGAUGGUUGGUCAUCUGCCUCAGACCUAAUAAAUACCAGUCAAUAAUUCAGCCAUGA
This 2324-nucleotide long non-coding RNA is filed under the name Homo sapiens (human). Its description in RNAcentral is "HSALNT0361162". The record is from RNAcentral. Lineage: Eukaryota; Metazoa; Chordata; Mammalia; Primates; Hominidae.